AGAGAACUGGGUGGAGACCAGCGUUUCAGGGCAAUAAACUCUCCAGCAGCCAAAACGGAGAAAAGCGAGGGAGGCCCAGGCCUGCCCAGCCCCAGGCAGCACGCCCAGGCCAGGCAAUUACCUUCAGUGGCCGGCAGGAGACCUCUGCAGGUGCUGCCUGCCCUGCCUCUGCGGCACAUCCUCACCUAGUGACCAUCUCCUCGAGGACGUGGAGCUCACAUGUGGGGCCGUGAGGACAGCUCCGAGACCAGAGCCUCCCCCCUGCACACUGACCCAGCAAUGAGAGUGUCCUGGGCUCCGAAGGCCCUGGGUCAUCUUCGUCCUCACCCCUUGUACUGCUGAAGAAGCUCCGGAGAUGAGCAGAUAUUUAGGGAGGGCCUAAUGUUCACCAUGUCCAGUGGAGGAAGACAGAGAAAAGCCACAUGCAUGUCCCAUCCCCAAAUUGCCCCAAAGGGGCCACUGCUGGUGUGGGAGUGGCUGUGAGCUGAGGGGUGGCAACAGCUAGGACAGGACUCCUCUUCUAGGGAGGCUGAGUUCUCUCCUACAUGGUGUAGUCCUAGAGGACUUCCUGGAGGAAGAGGCAUGUCAGGGGCCCCUGGAGACUGGACAUCUCUCCAGGCCCUAGUUUUCUUGCCUGUGACAUGAGAAAAGAGGCUUGUCCUGUUUGCUGUGUGGGGUGUUCACAGGAAGGAGCAGAUGGGCUCAUGGACAGGAAGGCACAGGGGCUUCUUCAUCUUCUGUUACACUGUUUGCAAAAUGGAUCCAGGAGUCACAGUGUCCAGUAGGCCCUGGCACCUGGAGGCUGAGUCUGGAGCCGGCCAUGGCAGUUUGGUGCUGCGGGUCCCCCACCCCCAAGGCUGUCCCACCACCCCGGGGAAGGCAUCGGGGGCUUGAGCCGUUGGAGGGCCUCGCUCUGAGCAGGCCGGGAUGGCAGGGCCAAGCGUCAGCUCGCUCCCCACAAGGCAUCAGUGGAGCAAAGAGGAAGCUGGGCUGGUGCAACUGGGGCCUUCGUGUCUGCGAUCUCAGGAGCUUGUGCAACGCACAGGAUCCGGAAAACUGGCUGCCUGUGGCCGCACGCAACCAGCACGCCAAGGGUCACCUGGGAGGCAGCCCGCACCCCAGGACAACCAUAGGUCACCCUCGCCUAGCUGGGGAGCUGGUGGGACCCCAGCCCUUUGGGCCCUUCUGGCUGCGGAGGCCCACACCUGCCCAGGCACGGAGAACGAGCUGGCCCUCGGAGGAAGCCAAGCUCUGGUCUUAGAACCGUCCCGGGUUUGAGUCCUGUCCCAAAAGCUGUGGCAAGUGCUUUGCUCUUGUGUACAUGGGGCUCGUAAAGGGACUACCUGAGAGUGCCCUGAGACUAGGCCAGGGCCACGUCCCAGUCCUCCGCAGUGCCAUCGGCCCACUUUGCCCCUCUGGGCUCCUAUUAGAAAGGGGAGCUGAUGGGAUUCCUGGGUGGCGCAGCGGUUUAGCGCCUGCCUUUGG
This 1485-nucleotide long non-coding RNA is filed under the name Canis lupus familiaris (dog). Its description in RNAcentral is "lncRNA (ENSCAFG00000053081.1, ENSCAFG00845005418.1)". Lineage: Eukaryota; Metazoa; Chordata; Mammalia; Carnivora; Canidae. The record is from RNAcentral.